CCUUGGCAACUAUAUUUAUUUAGCAUUUUUGGAAACAUCUCAUACACAAACAUUAAGGAGUUUUAUCUUUCCUGGUUUACUUCCCUCUCAUGCUAUUUCUAAAUACUGAUCAUUACUACACUCAAAUGGCCCAAAUGAUGAGGCUGUAACAAUAUAUGUGGCUAUGAGAGAACUACUCCUUUCACAAAUUCACAUCUUCAUAUUCUCUUAGCUUGUUGGUAAGUUCUGGUG
RNAcentral lists this long non-coding RNA (231 nucleotides) under Bos taurus (domestic cattle). Its description in RNAcentral is "long non-coding RNA NONBTAT018753". The record is from RNAcentral. Lineage: Eukaryota; Metazoa; Chordata; Mammalia; Artiodactyla; Bovidae.